This 15473-nucleotide long non-coding RNA is filed under the name Populus trichocarpa (black cottonwood). Its description in RNAcentral is "long non-coding RNA (PTRI_LNC004569)". The record is from RNAcentral. Lineage: Eukaryota; Viridiplantae; Streptophyta; Magnoliopsida; Malpighiales; Salicaceae.
GAAUAGAUGUUGUGAAGAGUAUUGACAGCAAUGUGUAUGGAGAUGGGGAAAAUCCAUUCCCAUCUUUGGAGACGCUGACUUUUGAGUACAUGGAGGGGUUAGAGCAAUGGGCUGCGUGUACUUUUCCUCGCCUUCGAGAAUUGGAGAUAGCCAAUUGCCCUGUGUUGAACGAAAUACCAAUUAUACCCUCCGUCAAAACGUUAAGCAUCCAUGGAGUGAAUGCUUCGUCGCUGAUGUCAGUUAGGAAUCUCACUUCUAUCACCUCCCUUCAUAUAGGAAACAUUCCAAAUGUGAGGGAGCUUCCCGAUGGGUUUUUGCAAAAUCAUACCCUCCUUGAAAGCUUAGUAAUUUAUGAGAUGCCAGAUCUGGAGUCUUUGUCAAAUAAGGUAUUAGAUAACCUUUCUGCUCUUAAAAGCUUGGGGAUUUCGUUUUGCUGGGAACUUGAAAGCUUGCCAGAGGAAGGUCUUCGUAACCUCAAUUCCUUGGAGGUUUUAAGGAUAGGGUUUUGUGGAAGAUUAAAUUGUCUGCCAAUGGAUGGGCUGUGUGGCUUAUCUUCUCUUCGGGGUUUAUAUGUUAGGAGAUGUGAUAAAUUCACAUCUCUAUCAGAGGGAGUGCGGCAUCUGACAGCUCUUGAGGAUUUGGAGCUUGUUGAAUGUCCAGAGCUGAAUUCAUUGCCAGAGAGUAUCCAACAGCUCACUUCUCUCCAAUCUCUAUACAUUCGGGAUUGUCCAAAUUUGGAGAAAAGGUGGGAGAAAGAUUUAGGAGAGGACUGGCCUAAGAUAGCUCACAUUCCUAAGAUUAGUUUCAAUUAAAAUUGAUAUGCAAAAUUUGUAAUGAGAAUAAAAUAUAUAUUUUCGUAGUUUUAAUUUGUUGUAAUUGUUUAAAUAAUUUUCUCAAAUUGAUUGUUGUUUUAUUCUUCAUAUAAAUGUAUAAAAAUGAUUGGUUCAUUAUUUGUUUUAAUUGAAACUUGUUUUACUACUACUGUAAUAAGUAGUUUUUUUUUGUCCAAAAGAUAUAAUCCUUUUAGCCAAUUAAGUAUUUUUUGUUACUUCAAAACAAAAACUUGAAUAAGAAAAUCAACUGUUGAGGUUUCUCAACUAAAAUAUCAAUCUCAUAAACAUCCUUUUAGCCUUUAUUUUACUUAAUUAAUUGAAACUAAUAAUGAUCGCCGUGGAAAAAUAUUCGCUCGAUUGCCUUUUAUCCAUUUUAUUUUAUUUCGAUAAAAACGAUCUUCUCACACGUAAAACUUUUUAGACUCAAAAUUAAAUACACAUCAAUCAAUCGCACCAUAAAAAUACAUGUCGAUUUUGUCCAUUUAAUAAUAUCUAUAUAUUAAUUUAAUAAAAUUUUAAAAAUAAUUAACUUAAUCAAGUAUUUAUUUAAUUUUUCGAGGUCUAAAAAUAUAAUUCUUGUAUUAAUUAUAUUCUAGUUGUUAAUUUUUAAAAUAUAUUUUAAUCAAGUCAUACUUAAUUAAAUCAUCUCAGUUUAAUUUCUACCUAAAGAUUUUUAAUGUAUGUGACCUAUUAAGUUUCUAAUAUGUUGGUCAAAAUAAAAAUUAUAAUUUAAUAAUUUAAUUUAAUAUCAAUUCAACAAUUGAUUAAUUUAUAUUUGAAAACAAGGUGUAUCAUCUGUUAACGUGUCUUGAUUUUUUAAAUAUUAGAAAAAUCAUUAGUGGUUUGACUUAAUCUUCUAGUGACUAGUUUUUCAGUGUAAUUAAUAUCAUUUCAUCAAUAAUGUUUUGAUUUAACAUUAAAGCAUGGGGUAUGUUUGUCAUGUUAAAUCAUGUUUAUUCUCUACAUGAUAGUCAUUGAUCGUUUAAAUAAGAUUUGGAACUCUUUUCAAAUUUCAUUCCACCUUAAUUAAGAAUUUCUCAGUCAAUACUAUUUGAGAACAGAUAAAAUAUAUAUUUUUUAAUUCAUCUAGGGUGAUGAAUCCUCUCCUUACAACUUAAAUAUCUUUUUAUUUUAAUUUUAAAAAUAAUGAAGUGACAGAAUUGUCUUUAAAAUAAAAAAUUUAUAAAUAUGGUUCCAAAGGGGGUGGUUUGUUAUUUUUUUUAUUUUUAGGUUGACCUUGGGGCUGUUUGGUAAUUUUAAAAAAUAAAUACUAUAAAAAAACUGUUGACGUGUGCAACUCACGUGUUAGCACAUGCAAGGUCGUCCGGUGACCAAAAUCAGUCAUCUACGAUGAUGUUUGGAGUGGCGCAUUGUCCGCUUCGUAUUGGCGAGAUGUGUGUUAACGGUAGAGGUGUGAUUGGGCUCUGAUGAACUUUUUUUUGUUUUCCUCUCUUUUUUUUUUUUUUUAAACUUAGAAAUUCAUAUCAGCCCUCCAACAAAAGCCAUCAUAGAGUCCAUUGAUGGUGCCUCAUGUGAUCUUCAAGAAUUGAAUCACUUGCAACAACGCCUCCAACAAAAGUUAACUGGAAAGAAGUUUUUGCUUGAACUAGAUGAUGCGUGGGAUGAUUAUGAUGAUAGGUGGAGUAAAUUGAAGGAGGUAUUAAGGUGUGGAGCUAAAGGUAGUGCUGUAAUAGUAACUACGCGUAAUGAGAUGGUUGCUCGUAGAAUGGCAGCAACUUUUGUCCAGCCCAUGGGGAGGUUGUCUGAAGAAGAUUCUUUGCAUUAAUUUGUUUCAACAGCUUGCAUUCGGGAUGAGAAGGAAAGAGGAGUGGGUGCACCUGGAAGCCAUUGGAGUAUCAAUAGUGAAGAAGUGUGGAGGAGUUCCGUUAGCUAUAAAGGCACUCGGGAACCUAAUGCGGCUAAAAGAAAGUGAAGAUGAAUGGAUAAAAGUAAAAAAAAAAAAAAAAAAGUGAGAUUUGGGAUCUAAGAGAAGAAGCAAGCGAGAUUUUACAUGGAGAAAGAACAAAAUAUUAGGUUCUUUCCAUAACCUUCAGGUAUAUAGAACCAAAACUACCAUCUCUGUUAUUUUCUUUUCAACAUCUUCAAUAAAAAACCGCAGGCAAUGGAUGAGGUUGCUAGGAAGCAACGUUUGGUUCAAAUUACAUGGUCUGGGAAGAGCCAUAGUGCACAAAGUGAAACCUAAAAGCUACACAUCCUCAUGAAAUGUUUCAAUGUGCCACUUGAUUCUAGAAACAAAUGCAGUUUCAGUAAAGCCCCAGCACAUCAGGUGAAUUCUUAAAUUGACACAAUCACGUACCUUAGAAAAAUAUUUCCAAAAAACUGCCCUCAAUCUAUCACGGACAAGCAUCAAGUCAUUUGAUUUAUUAUUUUUUUCUUUUUAAUUAUUUUUUACCUUAAUAUAUCAAAACAAUUUAAAAAUAUUAAAAAAAUAAUUUGAAAUAAAAAAAAUAAUUAAAAAAAAACAUUUUUGAAACACAAAAACAAAUGAUUUCUUAAUCUCUUGCAUUAACUUUUGAUUCUCUUCUUUUGUUUUUCUUUGUUCAACAUCCGUGAAAUUAUAAAUUAUAUUAUGUUCAAGUUUCCCUGAUCAGAUUAUAUUCCUUAAACUAUGUUUAAAAGUUCAUUAAUGGGAAUGUUGGUAAUGGAAGUACAGGUGAAGUGGUAUAUUUUCAUAAGAAGUCAGAGUGUUUACGGUAGAAUAUGACUCAUUUGUGUAAAAAAAAUAUAUGUAAAAUUUUAAAAUGUAAUUUAUAUAAUUUUUUAGUAUAUAUCUUUAAUGAUAAAUUAAUUUUAAUUAGAACAGAAAAUAAAAAUAAUAAAAAAUUAACUCAAGAUUAUUUGGACAUCAAAGCUUUAAUAAGAUAUUAAAUAUUUAUUUAAACAAAAAAAGAUGGAAACCAUUAAAUAAUACUUUAAAACAUUAUUUAUAUUAUUUUUUAAAACUUUUCAUCCACACAAUCAAGCUCGCAAUAGGAACUGAUUUUAGUUGGCCACACAUUACCCAUCCAUGUUCUAAAAGUUCUAGCCGCAAGUUUCAUGCUUUGCCCUGUUUUAAUGAGAAAAGCUUUAUUUUAUUUUGUUUUUUUAUUUUUUUUAAAAAGGUUAUAAUGUAAAACUUGAUGGAACUUCUAUUGGAAAAACUUCAUCCCUAAUACUAAAGGCAUCUCUCAUUUGAGUCGCACAUUCAUCCAUAUCAAUUUUUAUUUAAUAAAAUGUUGUUGUUUUGGGCAAGAUUUUUGUUAAAAAAAGACCGAUUUGAUUUCUCUUUCAUGUAUUAGAAACUCAUUCGACUUGUUCAAGAAAUCGGAUUUGAGGUGGGUUUUAUACAAUUUUCCGAGAUUAACUUCUUCUUUUUUGUGUUUCUGGCUUGUUAAUUGUGGUUGUUGAUGGAAGUAAUUGGUAAUGUAGUUUAUGUAUUUGUAGAAAGUCUCCAUUCAACACGUUCAUUGAUUGUUUCAAACUUGAACAAUCAUAUCCAUUGUUGACUGUUUGAUGGUUAGCCACUAGUCAUGUUUAACAAUUUUUUCAAGGAUUUUCAAAUAAUCUCUCACUUUCUGCCUGUCUCUCAACUGUUUUUGAGUCUUCGAAUAGAUACUUGAGAUAUGUGCAUGGGAAGAAAAUCACUAGCAAGCACACGUGAAUUUGAAAAUACCUAUAUAGUAUAGGCAUGGAAGCCCCAUUCAGUUGACAGAUAAUUGCCGCUAUAAAGACCAUUACUCUACUAAAACCCAUUUCGUUACCACAACGUGUCACCUGUUCCAUAUCAGUUCAUUGUUAUUUAAUUCUGAAAAAAAAUGAUAGAUAUGCGUCUUUAAUGGCAGUUCGGUAUUUAUAUACUAAAUUACAAUGAUCCGUUUGUGCUCGAUACGAUAUUUUCUCGUAUCAAUAACAAAUAAGAUAUUGAAGAUUCUAGGCAAACUGAAUUGUUAUUCCAGUAGACACUGGAAUGUUUCAGGAUGUAAUAGUUGAUGUAGUGGCUAAUGCUUGAUAGAGCAUAAUCGCCGAUUUAGUUUUAAAAGUAGUGUUGAUUUUUCAGUCUUCUUCCUCGUCUUUUCUCUAGCCAACUUCUGUCAUCUUUUGCAGGGACAUUGGUUGUCAAUAUCAACUUGAUGUUGAUAGCCCUGCUGCCAUCCCGCAAAUACCAGCCCCACCGCGAUCAACUAGAUGGGCUAGGCACAAAGACUCUCCUGAUGAAGAAGACUCGCCAAGCACUGUUGUGCAGACUACUCCUCGCACUACAGGCAGCUGCUCACAGAAGGCUAGCAAGACUGCAGCCCUGACCAAGAUGACUGCCAAUUUUGAUCAGAUCUUUUGCGAUCUAUGGAUAUGAAAGUCACUACCAGAAAAUUGAUAAAUACAAACGGAAAUACCGAGGGAAUAUUUCCGUCGGUAAAUUUCCGAGAGAUUUUACCGAUGGAAAUAUUCCCUCGGUAUAUACCGAGGGAAUUACCGUGGGAAAAAAAAUUAAAACAAAGCAAAAAAAAAAUGAUGACGUGUCAUUUUUACCAACGGAAUUACCGACGGAACAAAUUCCGUCGGUGAUUCCGUCGGUAAAUUUGUUGGUAAAUUGUGAACAUUGUUCAUCAUGUUAAUUACAAAGGGAAUCACCGUCGGAACAUUCCGUCGGUAUUUUCCAGAGAGUAAAUCACCGACGGAUUGAAAAGUCGUCGGUGUUAUUUGGCGGUUUUCUGAAAAAAUUCAAUUAAUUUAAAAUUUUCAUUUAAAUAUUACAGACGGAAUCACCGACGGAUUGAAAAAUCGUCGGUAAUUUUUUGGCGGUUUUUGAAAAAAAUUUACGAAAUUGAAAAUUUAAAUUAAAUAUUUCCGAUGGAAUUACCGAUGGAAUAAUUAAAAAAUAUUAAUAUUUAAUUAUCCGUCGGUAAAGCGUCCCAAUAAAAAGCCUGAAUGCCCUUAUUUUACAAGAGACAGACCCGUUUCUUCUUCUUCUUCUUCUUCUACUUCUUCUUCUUCUUCUUCUUCACUAUAUGUAAAAAACAUCAUUAAAGUAUGUCUUCUUCUUCUUCUUCACUUUAUGUAAACAACAUCAUUUCUUAUCUAUUUCUUUCUCUUCUUUUCUCUCCUCAUCUCCUUCUCUUUUCCUCCAUGUUUGGGUAUGUCUUCUUCUUCUUUCUUCUUUUAUCCUCUUAGUUUUUUUUUUUUAAUUAAUAUGCUUAAUGAAAAUUUUUUUCUCUCCUUAGCUUCACUUGCAACUACAUUAAGGUAAGAUUUUUCUUUUUUCUUCUUUUUUCAUGAUUUUUUUCACUAUAUUUGUUUUUUAUUUUAUUUUUAAUUGUUUUUGUUCUUAAUAAUUGUAUAAAUGUUGUUGUAUUUAUUUUUAUUUUAUUUUUAAUUGUUUUUGUUCUCUAAAUUCUUCAUAGAAUUAAUUUUUUAGUUGAAUUUAUUUUUUUUAUUUUAUUUAUUUGUUGCAAAUUUGUUUGAAUUGAUUUUCUUAUUCUUUUUUCCAAGCAUUUUGAGUAUAUAUUAUACAGUGUUAAUUUAUGUUAAUUUAAUUAUUUUAUAAUUUUAUAAAAUGAAUUUUUUUUUAAUGUUUUUCAAUAAUUACCGACGGAAAAUCCGUCGGUAAUUCCGUUAUUAAUAAAAAAAUUAUUACCGACGUGUCUGUUCCGUCAGUAAAUCCGUCGGUAAUUCUAUUACCAACGGAUUUACCGACGGACAAAACAUUACCGACGAACAAUUCACCGACGGAUCAUUUCCGUCUUUGAUUCCGUCGGUAAUAUAAUUACCGAUGGAAUAUGUGUCUUAUACCGACGGAAAAAUUCCGUCGGUAAAACUGUUAAAUCUUGUAGUGAGUGAAGGGUACAUUGCCUCUUGGUUUGAAAAUUUGCUCUUCAAAAUCUCAGGUAAUUGAUGCUGUCAUUCAAGAAAUUUUCUAUAUUUUUUCCUUUCUUGUUGACCUCUUUGGCUACGUUUUUUUAAUCAUUAUCAUAUAGGAAGAUACAUCUUCAAAUUACCUUCUUCGUGAAUUGUAUAUGGUCAGUUUCAUCUAUGAUGGACAAUUGUGUGCUUUAAUGUCUGGUUGUUGCUAAGGUUGACCAUGCAUUUAAUAUUUCUCAUUGAGCUUCUCUUUUUGUUGGUUUGACAGAAUAAAACUCAGGACAUUAAAUCUACAGAGAAGACUUGCAGAACGUUCGACUGUUGUUUCAAAAGAAUUUUAAAAGCUGGUUAGUGAUGAGUGGCUUUAUAAGUGCUGCAAUGAUGUUUCAAAAGAGUUUGUCAAAGGCAUUCAUUCUAUUAAUGCUUCUAUGUGACCAGGCAUCUAUGGUAAUGCUGGAGGAUCUGCAGCUGUGGUGUCUAAUAUGCGUAAGCGUGCAGUUCAAGCUUCAAGAUUUAUAUAUGUUGCAGAUUAUGCAGGCCCCCCCUUUAUGCUAAACAGACUGAAAAUGAGGGUGAAAAUGGUAGCACCAGUCAACUGAAACUGUAGAUGGCUCUUCGCAGCCUUCAUUUGAAUGUUCAGAUGAGGGACUUGGAUUUACAUGGUUUCUUGGGUACCUGUUUCUUGUCAGACAUCUUAUACUUCGUUACGGAAAAAGGAAAACUGCUCUAUUUAGAUACCAGAACAAGGAGAAGCUUAGCUCCACUGAUGACCAUAGAGAACUCAAGAACCCUUAGGAAGCAUAAAGCAAAAGCAUUUUUCAAAUGAAAGGAGAACUAAACAAAGAUAGGACUCCCCCUUGAGCCGUACAGCAAGGUAGUAUUAUGGUUCCUGGAAAAGCCCGUCUGCAGCUCCAAUCAGAGUACUAUAACCUCAUAACCAUUUUCUUAAAAAUGCUCACCUUCUCCGUACGAAAAAAAAAAACAUUUAUUCCCACAUCCAGAUGCUUCAUUUAUGUUUUGAUUAACAUUUAUAAGUAAGGCUAUGAUUAGAUUAGAAUUCAUUUCCUACAAGAAAUAUUAAUAACCUUGUCAUAAAAAUCUUGUUAGGUUGUUUCCAGAACAGGUAUUUUAAUUUCCCAAAAAGAAGUAAAGAAGCAUGAAAAAGAAAAACAGAAUAAUGUGUUUCCUAGCAAAUCCUCAACUUCAAUUCGUCUUCCAUCUAUUCCAGUUUAGCAACUUUUUUUUCCCUUCAGUUGAAUCCAAUUUGGAAAAAAAUUAUCAAAUUGUACUUGGAUUAUUUUUCAGAAGUCAUUGCCACAUGUAGCAAUUAUGAAACAGAAAAUCAAGGACACAUAGGCUAGAUGCGAUGUAUAAAAUUAUUAUGAAUUGUUCAUACUUCAAAUUAUUAGCAGAGAAAAAAUCUGCAUAUUGAGUACCUUUGCUGGCGAAGUUUCUCAGCUAGUGGAUCUAGUUUCUCUUCCUUUAGCACCUGAACAGUUUUUCCCUUCUUUUCGGUAGACUUUGCUGCAGAUUUCUUAGGAGCCUUUUCAGGAGGAGGUUUCACUACUGGUGCCUGAUCCAAUUCCAUAAAGAAAUACAAUAAUUACAGAUCAAGCACCACCAUAUAUAAACAUGGAAUGCAGCACUUCAUAUUUCUGUAACAGUGGGACUCAAAUAAAAAAGUUUAUAAGUGCAUAAAAUAAGCUAAGGUAUAAUAUACAACUGCAUCCCAUAUGUCAGCAUCACAUUUCUGUACACUUUUCUUAAUGAACCCGUGCCCACAAAAAUAUUCUCUUCCAUCCCUUCCCAAGCUCCCACUCCGCUUGAACAAAAUAGAAAGCUCCAAGAGAUAUGCACAUGUUUUUCCAGAUUGCAUAAAAGCUCUUUCCGAAUCAUAAAUUCCGAGCAUUUCUUUUCUAAUGAAAGCUACCUGCAUACCUUUACUUGGAAGAAAAACUUUUAUACGAUUGUAGUUUGACGCAUCAUUCAUAAGUUCUUAUUACAAUUUUUCCCCACUCACAGCAAGAGAAAACAAAAUUAGAUCAACAUUCCAUUAUUAAAUAUCAAAUAAGCCUAUCCCUAUCAUACCAUUUUCCAUAACUAGCUGUGUAUGUUGUUCCUGGACCUAUAAUAGCAUCCAACAUUUUAGGUGACUUUGGUUGAAAUUUGAAAGUGAUAGAUAAAGUAUAAAAUAAUGUGAGAUCAAGAUUACAUUAUCAAUCAUACCGGAGCUGGUUCAUCUUCAUCCUCCCACGAUUCUUUCACAUCAUCUUCAUCCACAUCUUCAUCAUCCCAUUUAUUUUUAGGCUGCUCUUUUGAAAGGAUAGGUGGAACUUGCACGUCCUCUGAAAAAAAGAUGUGCAGAUUAAAUCAGCAAAAUAAAAAACAUGAACAUAGAGAGAACUUCAUCUAGCAAUUUAAGAUAGAAAAAAUUUACAUGGAGAAAGAACAAAAUAUUAGAUUCUUUCCAAAACCUUCAGGUAUAUAGAACCAAAACUACCAUCUCUGUUAUUUUCUUUUCAGUAUCUUCAAUAAAAAACCGCAGGCAAUGGAUGAGGUUGCUAGGAAGCAACGUUUGGUUCUAAUUACAUGGUCUGGGAAGAGCCAUUGUGCACAAAGUGAAACCUAAAAGUUACACAUCCUCAUGAAAUGUUUCAAUGUGCGACUUGAUUCUAGAAACAAAUGCAGUUUCAGCAAAGCCGCAGCACAUCAGUUGAAUUCUUAAAUUUACACAAUCACCUUUAGUUAGUGUGAUGUUUUGAAAUAAAAGAGUAGGAAAAGGAAAUAAAGUCCUUGUCUACAUACACUGAUAUCUAGUUCAAUCCGACGAACCCCAACUAACCCCCACACACUAAUUUGGAUCCAGCAACUAGAAGUUAUCACAGUGUCUUUCAAACCUCAAACACAAACGGAUAGAAGAGCUAAACAUUAAAAAAAUUAAUUUGAAGUAAAAAAAAGUCAAUUUUUUUUUUUAAAAAAAACCACAUUUGAAUCAAAAAACAAAUGGGUCAUAAUCUUCUUACAGUAACUUCUGGUUCUCUUAUUCUGUUUUUCUUUGUCCAACAGCUGUGAAAUUAAGAAUUAUAUUAUGUUCAAGUUUCCCUGGUCAGAUUAUUUCCUUAAACUAUGUUUGAAAGUUCAUUAAUGGUAAUGUUGCUAAUGGAAGUACAGGUGAAGUGGUGUAUUUUCAUAAGAAGUCCUCGUAAAAGUACCCAUUAUAUUGAUAGUUUGAAACUAAAUCCAUUUCAUCAUCUUUUGCAAUGUCUUGCAAAAGGAAACUUAUCGUAUUUCCAUGGAAAUAUAUUUUGAUCUUUCGCACUGCGUGUUUGUAUAAAAAAAAUAUUUUAAUUUUAAAUUUUAAAUUAUUAUAUGAAAUUUUAAAAUAUAAUUUAUAUUAUUUUUUAAAAUAUAUUUUUUAUGAUUAAUUAAUUUUAAUUAGAACAGAAAAUAAAAAUAGUAUAAUCUCAUAUUCUUAUUCUUGAACAUUAAAGUUUUGAUUUAAUAUUAAAUAAUUAUCUAAACAAAAAAAUUUACACCAUUAAAUAAUAUUUUAAAAUAUUAUUUAUAUCAUUUUUUGAAACUUUUCAGCCGCACGAUCGAAAGCUCGCAAUAGCAAAUGAUUCUAGUGGGCCACACAUUACCCAUCCAUGUUUUAAAGGUUCUAAGUUUGAUGCUUUGACCUGUUUUAAUGAGGAUAUAUUCUGAAUUUCAUUUUAGAAAAAGCUUUAUGUUAUUUUGUUUUUUUUUUAUUUUUAAGAAAAGGUUAUAAUGUAAAACUUGAUGGAACUUCUAUUGGAUAAAAAAUAAAAAAAAAAAAACUUCACCCCUAAUACUGUGAUAACUUCUAGUUGCUGGAUCCAAAUUAGUGUGUGGAAAAAUUUUACAAAGUGUGAACUGAAAACUUCACCCCUUUAAAAAUUUUUAUAAAGUGUUGUUCAUCAAUUGAUAGGUGGUGAACUAAUUAAAGUUAAGAAAAUUCAGGUUCCGAAUCCCUUUAAUCUUCAAAUAAAACAUAUUCUGGCUAAAAUAAAAUAAAAUAAAAUAAAAUUCCUAGUCAAUUCUACCAUUCUACCAUAGAAGUAGGCCUUCCAUGGAGCAGGACCACAGGCUUUGAUGGUGGCUCCGCUUUCUACCUUUUAAAAUUGCUCGGCCCAGCCUAACUCUAACUAACUUAAUUUCGCGCCAAACCUCGACAUCUUCGGCCCCCAUGGUAUCAGUUCCCGCCAUCCAGUUCUCUACACCAAAUCUUCGGCCCCAUGGUAGGACUCACAUGGUAUCGCAGGUUGUAGAGAAGCAGUCUUGUCUGGGAAAAACAUAACCAGUGAAGCAUGGCUCCAUUAUUUAGUGAAUAAUGGAGCUAUACUACACUGUAACAUUGUUUACUAAAAUAAAUAGUUUUUUUAAAAAAAAAAUUUAAAAAAAUUAAUGCGAGUGAAUUAAUUCACUUCUACUGUUCACAUGAAAAGUUUAGGUUUUUUUUUUUGAAAAAUCAGUGUAAUUAAUUGAUUUUACUCGCACUAUUCACGGUGAACGUGAACAAUAUUUUUUUUUUGUUAAAAAAAGUAGUUUAAGGUGAAUUAAAUUUACUCAUACUGUAAUCUCAAUUUUAUUCCUCAUAAUAUUUUAUCUAAUUUUAUUGUACGCUCAAAAAAUCAUGAAAACUGUAGUUCUUGUCGAAUGAAUUUUGUGCGUAAUGAAAUUGUAAAAUUUUUUAAAAAAAAUUGAGUUUUACUAGAAAAACUAGUAUUUAAUAACACUACAUAAAUUAGAAGAAUAUCGCAUGAUGACGUAGCAUUUGUGGAAUUUGAUCGCAAUUCCAAUUAUGUUUUUUUCGGGUCCGACCCAGUUAAAAAAAAUUCAGUUUUUAUUUUUAUUUUAAUUGUGUUUUAUUCAAAAAAUUAGAAGGAUAUCGCUUGAUGAUGUAACAAAAAAAAUCAGUUUUUGUUGUUGCAUGCUUAAGAAACCAUGAAAAAUAUAGUCAUUGUUGGAUAUAUUUCGUUAUGAUGACAUUGCAUAUAGUUUAAUGGAAUAAUAAAAAAUAUUUGAUAUCAAUAUUAUUUAUUUCAGGAUGUAAUAAUAGUAGUUAAAUCUACAAUAUUUAAAUUAAAAAUAUUUUUUAAUUAUUUUAUUAAUAGUAGUUAAAUCUACAAUAUUUAAAUUAAAAAUAUUUUUUAAUUAUUUUAUAACCUCAAUUUGAAAAAUAUUUUUUUAACCAAACAUAUUAAACUACUUUUUAUUUAAUCUUAAUUUCAACCAUAAUUUUAACUAAAUAUAUAUUUUUUCAAAUCAAUUUCUACUAAAAAUAAAUAAUUUUUAUAAAACAAUUUUUUUACAGCCGAAUCCAUAAUAACAAACACAAUAAGUGGCGAUAAAGCAAUUCCGACAGGUGAGGUCACCUCAAAAAGGAGAUUUGACUCAUUGAUAAGAAUCUUUUGCCUCGUGAAAUUCCAAAUGCUGUCCAGCUAGAACUUCAAGGCGAAUGGGCAAUUAUUACUUUCUCUGUUCAAAGUCAUGUCGUGUUCUUUUCCUUUCUCUAUUCAUGUCCAAGAUAGACUAAUAUUUGAUUAUUCCAGAGAGCGAGCAAUUAUUCUGCACUUCUCUUUUCCAUAACCAAUCUUGCGUUUUCAUUUGACCGAUUUCGUCUUCCUGUCAAAGCCAUGUUCCUUCUCUGAAUCUUCAAUUGCUUUAUUAUAGCCAUAGCUAGUCAAGCUCCACCGUGUGGAGCCUAAUCAAUUUAUUCACAGAUUAGCACUGGUAAAGCCCAUCACCAAACACUAUUACCUUUUCCGUUUCUCAUCUCAAACUGCUCUGUCUUCUCAAUAUUUACUUACCAUUUCUUGCUCACAUCCCCUUCUUUUAGUUAUCCUUGCAGCUUUUCUGCUUCUUCUUGUCAACAUCCAUUUCAUUUCCAUUCGAAACCAAGCUAUGGCUGAUGCAAUUCUUUCUGCUCUCGCGAGCACAAUCAUGGGGAACUUGAAUUCCCUAAUUCUUCAAGAGCUUGGACUUGCUGGCCGGGGCCUAACGACCGAGCUUGAAAAUCUCAAGCGCACGUUCAGAAUCAUUCAAGCUGUGCUGCAAGAUGCAGAGGAGAAGCAGUGGAAGAAUGAAUCUAUCAAGGUGUGGCUCAGCAACCUCAAGGAUGCAGCUUAUGUUGUUGAUGAUGUACUGGAUGAGUUUGCAAUUGAAGCUCAGUGGCUUCUGCAGCGAAGAGAUCUCAAAAAUCGAGUAAGAUCCUUCUUUUCUAGCAAACAUAAUCCACUAGUUUUUCGACAAAGGAUGGCUCAUAAAUUGAAGAAUGUUAGAGAAAAACUAGAUGCCAUUGCCAAGGAGAAACAAGAUUUCCACCUAACAGAGGGGGCUGUGGAGAUGGAAGCAGAUAGUUUUGUUCAGCGUCGGACUUGGUCUUCGGUGAAUGAAUCAGAAAUUUAUGGAAGAGGCAAGGAGAAAGAGGAACUAGUCAGCAUCCUGCUCGAUAAUGCAGACAAUCUCCCUAUUUAUGCUAUAUGGGGGAUGGGGGGGCUGGGUAAAACAACACUUGUUCAACUGGUCUACAAUGAAGAAAGGGUUAAACAACAAUUCAGUUUGAGGAUCUGGGUGUGUGUAUCUACUGAUUUCAAUCUCGAAAGAUUAACAAGAGCCAUCAUAGAGUCCAUUGAUGGUGCCUCUUGUGAUAUUCAAGAAUUGGAUCCCUUGCAACUACGCCUCCGACAGAAGUUAACUGGAAAGAAGUUUUUUCUUGUAUUGGAUGAUGUGUGGGAUGGUUAUGGUGAUAGGUGGAAUAAAUUGAAGGAGGUAUUAAGGUGUGGAGCUAAAGGUAGUGCUGUCAUAGUAACUACGCGUAUUGAGAUGGUUGCUCGUACAAUGGCAACAGCUUUUGUCAAGCACAUGGGGAGAUUGUCUGAAGAAGAUUCUUGGCAGUUGUUUCAACAGCUUGCAUUCGGGAUGAGAAGGAAAGAGGAGCGGGCACGCCUGGAAGCCAUUGGAGAAUCAAUAGUGAAGAAGUGUGGUGGUGCUCCUUUAGCUAUAAAUGCAUUAGGGAACCUAAUGCGGCUAAAAGAAAGUGAAGAUCAGUGGAUAGCUGUCAAAGAAAGUGAGAUUUGGGAUCUAAGAGAAGCAAGCGAGAUCUUACCUGCUUUGAGGUUGAGUUACACUAAUCUAUCACCACAUUUGAAGCAAUGCUUUGCGUUUUGCGCAAUAUUUCCAAAAGAUCAGGUGAUGAGGAGGGAGAAGCUGGUUGCUUUGUGGAUGGCAAAUGGUUUUAUUUCUCGCAGAAAAGAAAUGCAUUUGCACGUCAGUGGUAUUGAGAUAUUCAAUGAACUAGUGGGAAGGUCAUUUCUGCAAGAGCUCCAGGAUGAUGGAUUUGGCAACAUAACAUGUAAAAUGCAUGAUCUUAUGCAUGAUCUUGCUCAAUCCAUUGCAGUACAAGAAUGCUAUAACAUCGAAGGCCAUGAGGAGUUGGAAAAUAUUCCUAAAACUGUUCGUCAUGUAACUUUUAACCAUAGAGGAGUAGCUUCUCUUGAAAAAACACUUUUCAAUGUCCAAUCAUUGCGCACAUGUCUUUCGGUGCAUUAUGAUUGGAAUAAAAAGUGCUGGGGAAAGAGCCUUGAUAUGUAUUCUUCUAGUCCAAAACAUCGAGCCUUGAGUUUAGUAACUAUCCGGGAGGAGAAAUUGCCGAAGUCAAUUUGUGAUUUGAAGCAUCUAAGGUAUCUAGAUGUAUCACGCUACGAGUUCAAAACACUGCCUGAAAGUAUAACCUCACUCCAAAACCUCCAGACACUAGAUCUGAGUUAUUGCAUUCAGCUCAUCCAAUUACCAAAAGGUGUGAAGCACAUGAAAAGUCUCGUAUAUCUUGACAUCACGGGUUGCCAUUCACUUCGAUUUAUGCCUUGUGGAAUGGGGCAAUUGAGAGACCUGCGAAAACUUACCCUGUUCAUUGUGGGUGUUGAGAAUGGUCGUUGCAUAAGUGAGCUUGGAUGGCUGAAUGAUCUUGCUGGUGAAUUGAGUAUCGCAGAUCUUGUGAAUGUUAAGAAUUUAAAUGAUGCCAAAAGUGCCAAUUUGAAGUUGAAGACAGCUCUUUUAUCACUGACUUUAUCUUGGCAUGAGAAUGGAGGUUACCUUUUUGGCUCUCGGCCAUUUGUGCCACCACGACAAACAAUUCAGGUAAAUAACGAGGAGGUCCUUGAAGGGCUUCAACCUCAUCCAAAUCUGAAGAAGUUGAGGAUAUGUGGAUAUGGAGGUUCAAGAUUUCCUAAUUGGAUGAUGAACAUGACGCUACCAAAUCUGGUAGAGAUGGAGCUAUCAGCAUUUCCCAACUGUGAACAACUUCCACCAUUGGGGAAACUGCAGUUCCUCAAGAGUCUUGUAUUGCGUGGAAUGGAUGGUGUGAAGAGUAUUGACAGCAAUGUGUAUGGAGAUGGGCAAAAUCCAUUCCCAUCUUUGGAGAUGCUGAAAUUCUGUUCAAUGAAGGGAUUAGAGCAAUGGGUUGCGUGUACUUUUCCUCGCCUUCGAGAAUUGAAUAUAGUCUGGUGCCCUGUGUUGAACGAAAUACCAAUUAUACCCUCCGUCAAAUCAUUGUACAUCCAGGGAGUGAAUGCUUCGCUGCUGAUGUCAGUUAGGAAUCUCUCUUCUAUCACUUCUCUUCGUAUUGACUGGAUUCGCAAUGUGAGGGAGCUUCCCGAUGGGAUUUUGCAAAAUCAUACCCUCCUUGAAAGAUUAGAAAUUGUUAGCCUAACAGAUCUGGAGUCUUUGUCAAAUAGGGUAUUAGAUAACCUUUCUGCUCUUAAA